CAGGUCUUGGACUCUCAAGUGUAUAUUAUCGACCACAAACUUAUGGUGUCUUCUGAUAACAAUGCUGAAGAGGAAGACAUGGUGAUGCCUCAUCUCUCUUCUGCUGCACUUCUGAUUUGGAAAAGCCAGCUGGUGUGGGACAACAUCGCUUCUCCUCGGCCCAUGUCCACCCAUGUCCUGGGAGCAGGCAAGGCAGGCCCAGUGGCUCAUUGAUGGUACACUUUACAGCGUGGACUACAGGCUCCCAGCUGGUGGCCAGCCUUUCUCCAUUCUCCUCUUAUCGAUCAUCCAUCCUCUCAAGAGCUGCCUUGACCAACAGAUACACAGCGUUUCGCAAAGGCUGAACUUAAUUCGGGUGGCACACUCUCUGACAUAAGCCAGUUAAUGCCAGUGUGUAAACAGCCAGUUAACUUUCUGAGUGAACACAGUAGUUUACUGGACAGGUUUGAUAAAAUCAGUCACAUCUCAGGUUUGACCUGGGCCAGUCAAACACUCUCCUGUGAGGAUUUCCUAGCAGAAGUCGCAGGUCGGGAAGUCAGUCCGAGGGCUCCAGCUAUCAUUUCCCCUGACAACUGCAGGCCAUGACAGUGACAGUCUGAGAGGGUCGCUAUUCCUGUGGGAACGACUUGGGGUGCCCACAGCUUGCACACGGGCUGAUCCUACUUUCUUCAAGAGUUCGAGUAGCCUCAGCUUUACAUGCAGCUACGUGGGCUUUGGAAACAGCGCUCCAUUGCAGCCCCGACAAUCCGAGGUGGGCAGAGCUGCACUGGUGAAUUCUGCAACAAAAUCUACAACAUAUUCUCCAAUUCUUCAUUUUAACUUAACGCUUUCACUGUUUCAUAUUUCCCAGGUGAAAAGGAGAUGAAUAUGGAAUAUUCUUGCCUUUCUUUGCUAGCUGUUUGUGGUGUUCAUCAAUGCUCUGAGCAGAGAUUUACUGAACAUGUAAUUCAAACAGAAUGAGUCCUUACUGAAAUUUUUAUCUAUAGCUCAAAUAUAUACAUGUACAGCAUAUUUCCUGAACACUAACUAUCUUUGUUUCUUGAAGAACUGUGUAUCUAAGACUUAAUUUCCUCAAUAUUUCUUCCUUUCCUGUGCCUUCCAUGUGAACUAUCA
Long non-coding RNA from Dromaius novaehollandiae (emu), 1113 nucleotides. RefSeq lists it as uncharacterized. Lineage: Eukaryota; Metazoa; Chordata; Aves; Casuariiformes; Dromaiidae. The transcript is spliced from 4 exons. The record is from RefSeq and is a predicted model, not a curated record.